GACGAACGCUGGCGGCGUGCCUAAUACAUGCAAGUCGAGCGCAGGAAAUCAUCCGAACCCUUCGGGGGGACGUUGAUGGAAUGAGCGGCGGACGGGUGAGCAACACGUAAAGAACCUGCCCUCAGGUCUGGGAUAACCACGAGAAAUCGGGGCUAAUACCGGAUGGGUCAUCGGACCGCAUGGUCCGAGGAUGAAAGGCGCUUCGGCGUCGCCUGGGGAUGGCUUUGCGGUGCAUUAGCUAGUUGGUGGGGUAAUGGCCCACGAAGGCGACGAUGGAUAGCCGACCUGAGAGGGUGGUCGGCCGCACUGGGACUGAGACGCGGCCCAGACGCCUACGGGAGGCAGCAGUAGGGAAUCUUCCACAAUGGACGAAAGUCUGAUGGAGCAACGCCGCGUGAACGAUGAAGGCCUUCGGGUCGUAAAGUUCUGUUGUAAGGGAAGAACAAGUGCCGCAGGCAAUGGCGGCACCUUGACGGUACCUUGCGAGAAAGCCACGGCUAACUACGUGCCAGCCGCCGCGGUAA
Molecule: ribosomal RNA, 524 nt
Filed under: uncultured bacterium
Lineage: Bacteria
Description: partial 16S ribosomal RNA
Rfam family: Bacterial small subunit ribosomal RNA
Source: RNAcentral